Molecule: long non-coding RNA, 276 nt
Filed under: Equus asinus (donkey)
Lineage: Eukaryota; Metazoa; Chordata; Mammalia; Perissodactyla; Equidae
Description: lncRNA (ENSEASG00005036228.1)
Source: RNAcentral
UUGCAUCUGGAUUUUGAGUUGUAUUUAGAAAGCAUCUCCUCCCACCUACGUCAUAGAGAAAGUCACCCAUAUUUUCUCCUAACACAGGAUUUUGAUGGUUGACAGAACUCACAGUCCUGUGCCUUCACUCUGAUGAUGCAUCUCCUGCUCCAGCUGGAAUCCUUCUCAGGAAAACGAGCAGAGGUCAGGCUGACCCUUCUUGCUGGGCAGGUGGGGCCUCCAUCUUCAGUUCAAGCUACCUUAGCUGGAAGUUUCGAGAGGACACCAAAUAUUUAC